ACCCGCUGAACUUAAGCAUAUCAAUAAGCGGAGGAAAAGAAACCAACAGGGAUUGCCUCAGUAACGGCGAGUGAAGCGGCAAAAGCUCAGAUUUGAAAUCUGGCGUUAUAUCAACGUCCGAGUUGUAAUCUGUAGAGAGGUAUUCGAGUGUGGAUUUGGCUUAAGUUCCUUGGAACAGGACGUCACAGAGGGUGAGAACCCCGUUUCGGCCUUUGUCUUAUGCUCAUGUGAAUCUUCUUCAACGAGUCGAGUUGUUUGGGAAUGCAGCUCUAAAUGGGUGGUAAAUUCCAUCUAAAGCUAAAUACUGGCAAGAGACCGAUAGCGCACAAGUAGAGUGAUCGAAAGAUGAAAAGAACUCUGAACAGAGAGUUAAAUAGUACGUGAAAUUGUUGAAAGGGAAGCACUUGCAACCAGACUCGCUUGCAGUUAAUCAACCUCCAUUUUUGGUGGUGCACUUAGCUGUAGGUGGGCCAGCAUCAGUUGUGUCGGUGGGAUAAAGACUUUAGGAAUGUGGCUCUCUUCGGGGAGUGUUAUAGCCUAUUGUGUAAUGCCAUCUGACGCGACUGAGGACCGCGCUUCGGCAAGGAUGCUGGCAUAAUGGUUGU
Molecule: ribosomal RNA, 605 nt
Filed under: uncultured fungus
Lineage: Eukaryota; Fungi
Description: eukaryotic LSU rRNA
Rfam family: Eukaryotic large subunit ribosomal RNA
Source: RNAcentral